This 73-nucleotide transfer RNA is filed under the name Proteromonas lacertae. RNAcentral describes it as "tRNA-Pro". It matches the Rfam family "tRNA". Rfam says of the family: Transfer RNA (tRNA) molecules are approximately 80 nucleotides in length. The record is from RNAcentral. Lineage: Eukaryota; Bigyra; Opalinata; Proteromonadidae.
CAGAGCGUAGUGUAGUUGGUAACAUAUUUGCUUUGGGUGUAAAAGUUCGUAGGUUCGAAUCCUACCGUUCUGA